Impatiens glandulifera is the source of this 152-nucleotide small nucleolar RNA. RefSeq annotates it as small nucleolar RNA snoR2/U65. The record is from RefSeq and is a predicted model, not a curated record. Lineage: Eukaryota; Viridiplantae; Streptophyta; Magnoliopsida; Ericales; Balsaminaceae. The transcript has a single exon.
GGUUCGAUGCCACGUUGACGGUAGCUUUAUAAAAACAUUGACCGGAGAUGUCAUAUUGAACCAAUAUCAAUUUCUUAUUUCGCAUCUUGAUAGGAAUCUGUGAAUCGAUUGUUUUUGGUUCGUUCAUGGAGCCGUUUUAUGCGAUUACAUUU